RNAcentral lists this ribosomal RNA (360 nucleotides) under Izeniola n. sp. ND-2002-1. Its description in RNAcentral is "partial 12S ribosomal RNA". The record is from RNAcentral. Lineage: Eukaryota; Metazoa; Arthropoda; Insecta; Diptera; Cecidomyiidae.
UUAAAAAAUUUGGCAGUAUUUUUUAAAAUUAGAGGAUUUUGUUAUGUAAUAGAUAAUACACUAUAAAAUUUAUUUAAUUUUUUCUUUUUAUUGUAUAUUGUUGUCUUUAGUUAAUUUUAAUUAAAAAUUAGUCAAUAUUAUUAUAUUAAAUUUUAAUAAUUAAAGUCAAAUCAUCAUGCAUAUUAUAAUUAAAUAUUAAAUGAAAUACAUUAUUUAUAGAUAUGAAUUUAAAUUUGUAAAAUUUUAAUGAAAUUGGAUUUAAUAGUAAAUUUUAAUAAAUUUUAAAUUUGAAUUAUAUUAAAAAUAUGUACAAAUUGCCCGUCGUUUUUAAUUUAAAUUAAAAUAAGUCGUAACAUAGUA